Molecule: non-coding RNA, 54 nt
Filed under: unclassified sequences
Description: RAGATH-5 RNA
Rfam family: RAGATH-5 RNA
Source: RNAcentral
CCGGAUGCCCUAGCAGGGUCCGCACCGGAUAAAGCGGCCCCGCCCCACCGCCCA